GACGGAGGCCGCGGCCGAUCAGGCAGUUGGUAGGGCAAAGGCCUACCAAACCAAUAACCGGUACGGGCCGUGAGAGCGGAAGCCCGGAGAUGGGAACUGAGACAAGGUCCCAGGCCCUACGGGGCGCAGCAGUUGCGAAAACUCCGCAAUGCACGAAAGUGUGACGGGGCUACCCCGAGUGCCGUCCGCUGAGGACGGCUUUUAUCUGCUGUAAGGAGGCAGAGGAAUAAGGAGAGGGCAAGUCUGGUGUCAGCCGCCGCGGUAAUACCAGCUCUCCGAGUGGUAGGGACGAUUACUGGGCUUAAAGCGUCCGUAGCCGGCCUAACAAGUCUCUCGUCAAAUCCAACGAUCCAAUCGCUGGACCGCAAGAGAUACUGUCAGGCUAGGAGGCGGGAGAGGCCGACGGUACUCUUGGGGUAGGGGUGAAAUCCUAUAAUCCCAGGAGGACCACCAGUGGCGAAGGCUGUCGGCUCGCACGCGCUCGACGGUGAGGGACGAAAGCUUGGGGAGCGAACCGGAUUAGAUACCCGGGUAGUCCAAGCUGUAAACGAUGCGGGCUGGGUGUUGGGGUGGCUACGGGCCACUUCAGUGCCGCAGCGAAGGCGUUAAGCCCGCCGCCUGGGGAGUACGGCCGCAAGGCUGAAACUUAAAGGAAUUGGCGGGGGAGCACCACAAGGGGUGAAGCUUGCGGUUUAAUUGGAGUCAACGCCGGGAACCUUACCGGGGGCGACAGCAGAAUGAUAGCCAGAUUGAUGGUCUUGCUUGACGAGCUGAGAGGAGGUGCAUGGCCGUCGCCAGUUCGUGCCGUGAGGUGUCCUGUUAAGUCAGGCAACGAUCGAGACCCGCGUCCCUUGUUGCCUCUGAGGAGAGUCUCCGAUGGGCAAGACUAGGGAGACCGCCGCCGAUAAGGCGGAGGAAGGAGCGGGCAACGGCAGGUCAGUAUGCCCCGAAUCCCCCGGGCUACACGCGACGCCUGCAAUGGCAGGGACAAUGGGUUCCGACUCCGAGAGGAGGAGGUAAUCUCGAAACCCUGUCGUAGUUGGGAUCGAGGGCUGGAACUCGCCCUCGUGAAUCAUGGAAUCCCUAGUAAUCGCGCGUCAUCAGCGCGCGGUGAAUACGUCCCCGCUCCUUGCACACACCGCCCGUCGUUCCACCCAAGUGGGGUUUGGAUGAGGCGUGGUCCUUGUGGCCAUGUCGAA
Molecule: ribosomal RNA, 1199 nt
Filed under: uncultured archaeon
Lineage: Archaea
Description: bacterial SSU rRNA
Rfam family: Archaeal small subunit ribosomal RNA
Source: RNAcentral